GUUGAACGGCCACAUUGGGACUGAGACACGGCCCAGACUCCUACGGGAGGCAGCAGUGGGGAAUAUUGCACAAUGGGGGAAACCCUGAUGCAGCGACGCCGCGUGGAGGAAGAAGGUCUUCGGAUUGUAAACUCCUGUUGUUGAGGAAGAUAAUGACGGUACUCAACAAGGAAGUGACGGCUAACUACGUGCCAGCAGCCGCGGUAAAACGUAGGUCACAAGCGUUGUCCGGAAUUACUGGGUGUAAAGGGAGCGCAGGCGGGAGAACAAGUUGGAAGUGAAAUCCAUGGGCUCAACCCAUGAACUGCUUUCAAAACUGUUUUUCUUGAGUAGUACAGAGGUAGGCGGAAUUCCCGGUGUAGCGGUGGAAUGCGUAGAUAUCGGGAGGAACACCAGUGGCGAAGGCGGCCUACUGGGCACCAACUGACGCUGAGGCUCGAAAGUGUGGGUAGCAAACAGGAUUAGAUACCCUGGUAGUCCACACCGUAAACGAUGAUUACUAGGUGUUGGAGGAUUGACCCCUUCAGUGCCGCAGUUAACACAAUAAGUAAUCCACCUGGGGAGUACGACCGCAAGGUUGAAACUCAAAGGAAUUGACGGGGGCCCGCACAAGCAGUGGAGUAUGUGGUUUAAUUCGACGCAACGCGAAGAACCUUACCAAGUCUUGACAUCCCUUGACGAUGCUGGAAACAGCAUUUCUCUUCGGAGCAAGGAGACAGGUGGUGCAUGGUUGUCGUCAGCUCGUGUCGUGAGAUGUUGGGUUAAGUCCCGCAACGAGCGCAACCCUUAUGGUCAGUUACUACGCAAGAGGACUCUGGCCAGACUGCCGUUGACAAAACGGAGGAAGGUGGGGAUGACGUCAAAUCAUCAUGCCCUUUAUGACUUGGGCUACACACGUACUACAAUGGCGUUAAACAAAGAGAAGCAAGACCGCGAGGUGGAGCAAAACUCAGAAACAACGUCCCAGUUCGGACUGCAGGCUGCAACUCGCCUGCACGAAGUCGGAAUUGCUAGUAAUCGUGGAUCAGCAUGCCACGGUGAAUACGUUCCCGGGCCUUGUACACACCGCCCGUCACACCAUGAGAGCCGGGGGGACCCGAAGUCGGUAGUCUAACCGCAAGGAGGACGCCGCCGAAGGUAAAACUGGUGAUUGGGGUGAAGUCGUAACAAGGUAGCCGUACUAGUACGUCGGGCC
This 1195-nucleotide ribosomal RNA is filed under the name metagenome. RNAcentral's name for it is "bacterial SSU rRNA". It matches the Rfam family "Bacterial small subunit ribosomal RNA", at positions 299 to 1521 of the family's 1533-position model. The record is from RNAcentral.